GGCUGGACGGCCACAAUGGAACUGAGACACGGUCCAUACUCCUACGGGAGGCAGCAGUAGGGAAUCUUGCGCAAUGGGGGAAACCCUGACGCAGCAACGCCGCGUGAGUGAGGAAGGUCUUCGGAUCGUAAAGCUCUGUCAGUUGGAAAGAAAUGUCUGAGAGUCAAUCCCUUUCAGGCUUGACGGUACCAACAGAGGAAGCACCGGCUAACUCCGUGCCAGCAGCCGCGGUAAUACGGGGGGUGCAAGCGUUGUUCGGAAUUAUUGGGCGUAAAGAGCGUGUAGGCGGCCGGAUAUGUCAGAUGUGAAAGCCCCGGGCUUAACCCGGGAAGUGCAUUUGAAACUGUCCGGCUCGAGUAGGGGAGAGGGAAGUGGAAUUCCUGGUGUAGAGGUGAAAUUCGUAGAUAUCAGGAGGAACACCGGUGGCGAAGGCGACUUCCUGGCCCUAUACUGACGCUGAGACGCGAGAGCGUGGGUAGCAAACAGGAUUAGAUACCCUGGUAGUCCACGCCGUAAACGAUGUUCACUAGGUGUUGGGGGUAUUGACCCCCUCAGUGCCGGAGCUAACGCAUUAAGUGAACCGCCUGGGGAGUACGGUCGCAAGACUAAAACUCAAAGGAAUUGACGGGGGCCCGCACAAGCGGUGGAGCAUGUGGUUUAAUUCGAUGCAACGCGAAGAACCUUACCUGGGCUUGACAUCUGGGGAAUCCCCUGGAAACAGGGGA
RNAcentral lists this ribosomal RNA (725 nucleotides) under uncultured bacterium. Its description in RNAcentral is "bacterial SSU rRNA". It matches the Rfam family "Bacterial small subunit ribosomal RNA", at positions 298 to 1013 of the family's 1533-position model. The record is from RNAcentral.